CCUACGGGAGACAGCAGUGGGGAAUAUUGCACAAUGGGGGAAACCCUGAUGCAGCGACGCCGCGUGAGUGAAGAAGUAUUUCGGUACGUAAAGCUCUAUCAGCAGGGAAGAAAAUGACGGUACCUGACUAAGAAGCCCCGGCUAACUACGUGCCAGCAGCCGCGGUAAUACGUAGGGGGCAAGCGUUAUCCGGAUUUACUGGGGGUAAAGGGAGCGUAGACGGCAGCGCAAGUCUGGAGUGAAAUCCCAUGGCUUAACCAUGGAACUGCUUUGGAAACUGUGCAGCUAGAGUGCAGGAGAGGUAAGCGGAAUUCCUAGUGUAGCGGUGAAAUGCGUAGAUAUUAGGAGGAACACCAGUGGCGAAGGCGGCUUACUGGACUGUAACUGACGUUGAGGCUCGAAAGUGUGGGGAGCAAACAGGAUUAGAUACCCCUGUAGUC
Molecule: ribosomal RNA, 440 nt
Filed under: uncultured bacterium
Lineage: Bacteria
Description: partial 16S ribosomal RNA
Rfam family: Bacterial small subunit ribosomal RNA
Source: RNAcentral